This 355-nucleotide unclassified non-coding RNA is filed under the name soil metagenome. RNAcentral describes it as "partial contains 5.8S ribosomal RNA, internal transcribed spacer 2, and large subunit ribosomal RNA". The stretch from base 1 to 120 matches the Rfam family "5.8S ribosomal RNA", at positions 35 to 154 of the family's 154-position model. The record is from RNAcentral.
GAUGAAGAACGUAGCGAAAUGCGAUAAGUAAUGUGAAUUGCAGAAUUCAGUGAAUCAUCGAAUCUUUGAACGCACAUUGCGCCCAUUAGUAUUCUAGUGGGCAUGCCUGUUCGAGCGUCAUUAAGUCCACUUAAGCCCUGCUUAGUGUUGGGAGACUGCUCCAGCGGUGCUACCCUGUAGCUACCCUGCAGCUCCUCAAAGACAGCGGCGGAGUUGUGGUAUCCUCUGAGCUUAGUAACUUGUUCUAGCUUUCGAGUACACCAAUUCCCCUGCCGUAAAACCCUUAAUUUUUAAUGGUUGACCUCGGUUCAGGAAGGAAUACCCGCUGAACUUAAGCAUAUCAAUAAGCGGAGGA